GCAAGGGGGAGGAAGGGUAAGCUUGGCAAGGGGGACACCAGGGACCUUGAAUGCUAAGCCGCAGAGUCCCAUUUGGCCUGAUAGGAAACAGUCUGGCCAAGGCCUUAGCCUGGGCAUGCUGCAGAGGCUGGGGCUCUGCAGGACAGGACUCAGGAGUGGGGGAGUUAAAGCAUCAUAAUCCAGGGAGGCUGGCAGUACCAGGGGCAGAAAGAGCACUGAACCACAAGUCAUGAUUGGGCUUCCUGUCUCCUCCUCUGGACUAGCUGGUGACCUUGGGCAAGUCAUUCCACAUUCGCCCCACCUUCCCCAGCUAUCAGGAAGACUGAAUGCAUGAACAAGUCAUGAUCGUGCAGGGAGCUGUACACAUGUGAACCGUUCAUCCUACUGCUCUUCAGGAAGUGCCAAAGAAGUAUUUGCUGAACGACUGUGGAUAUGAGCACGAAUAAUCAAGGCUGUAGACGUUGCCAUGGGAGCAUGAAGAGGUCUUCGCAGACUCUGCCCCAGGAGUUAGAAGUUUCUCAGCAAGGGCCAUUUAAAUGGGGCCUUGAUGGAUGGAUAGAUCAGGUCACCUGAAGAUCAUCGGGGGAAGGAUGCUGCAAGUGCUAGGAAAAAAGUUGAAAGCAUGCUCCGGAUGUAAGGGGAUCGUGCUGGGGAUUAGAUAGGGGCUCUCUUGGGCCGUACUAAAGUGUUUGUUUACACCCAGAUGGGCCCUGCUGGCGGGGAAAUUUAAAGGGAACGUGCUCAGUAAGAAAGCUGCUGGCCGAUCACAACUGAUCGAAACAUCUCCAAAAUAAUGAACGUCUGUGGGAAACAGGGACCCACUGAUUGGUGUGCAAAUCCAACUACUUGGGUUUUCAGGAACAAGUUGAAGAGCAGCAAGGUGGGGCAGUGCCAUGGCCUCAAUGUGGGGGCUUAGCCAGGAAAUGAGAGAGCUGAGUUGCUGCCCUUCCUCUGCGGCCAGGUUCCCCCAAGCUUGCGUCUCUCCCUGUGUGGCUGGGCUUUCAGGAGUAUGUGCACGUCUCACUGAGACUUGGUACACAACAGUGGCAAAGGCCAGAUGGUCCCCUUCAGAGAAAAGUCCGGAGUGAGAAUAAAAACUCGAUAUAGGAUGGGGGUGGGCACUAGACUUGGGAGUCAGGAAGAAGCCUGUGGGGCAGACCCACUGACUUCUUGUGAUCGUUAUCACCUGUUUCUUCUCCCAAGAUGUCACCGGAAGGGCACCAUGUAUCCAAAACCUCAAAACUAAGAAAAUCUUUGCGUUUGCAAGAGAAUGUUAUUUUUCUUCCCUUCUUACCUGGUCUCAUCUCUCGCUUUGCUUUGGCGGCCAGGAAGCCCAGGGUCAAAUGUGAAACUGAAUUCUAACAACUAUAUAGGUCUUUUAUGGCCAGAAUAUUUCUGUUCUUGCUUUAUGAUCCUGAUUUCCUACUCAAUUAUAUUCUUCCUAAUUCUAAUUUGUCAUAUUUUAUUGUUUUACUGUGUAAUGCAAGCCAUCUUAAUUUUUCUUGUGGAAUGAAGUAAGGUACACUUAGGUAAAUGACUGAAAAUGAGGAGACAACGGAUGGCCAAGGACUGACCAGGGCAGACAGUGGUGGGUAUUUGGAGGGAGAAUUACCAGGGUAACAGGGUCAGACCUGCAAUACCGCCUAAUACCAAAGCCCCAUCUCACCCCUAAGACAGUCCAAAGCAAAGGGAGUUGUCCACGAUUUUAUGGCAUAUUAUCGUCAGAGAGGAAAUUGAUACCUACUUUUCCUGGCACUCAGUUCCCUGCUCUUCCCAUGACAACAGGCCUCACCCUGGUUGUAAGGAUGGCAUGGCGAAGGUUAGGAAGGUGGCUCACUGCUGGCUUCCACGGCCAAUGAAAGCCAACGAACAAGUAGAAUGCUCUGUUCCUCCGGCUUCGA
Ailuropoda melanoleuca (giant panda) is the source of this 1901-nucleotide long non-coding RNA. RefSeq lists it as uncharacterized. NCBI's taxonomy places the organism in Eukaryota, Metazoa, Chordata, Mammalia, Carnivora, Ursidae. The record is from RefSeq and is a predicted model, not a curated record. The transcript has 3 exons.